RNAcentral lists this non-coding RNA (110 nucleotides) under Palpitomonas bilix. The record is from RNAcentral.
AGCGAGAAAAAAAGAGGAAAAAAGAGAAAGAAAGGAGUGGCAAAAAUGGAGAAGAUCACUGCUGUGUGUGUGGUAAUGUUGCUUCUCCUCCUCUCCUCUCCUACCUCUUU